This 346-nucleotide unclassified non-coding RNA is filed under the name soil metagenome. RNAcentral's name for it is "partial contains 5.8S ribosomal RNA, internal transcribed spacer 2, and large subunit ribosomal RNA". The stretch from base 1 to 120 matches the Rfam family "5.8S ribosomal RNA", at positions 35 to 154 of the family's 154-position model. The record is from RNAcentral.
GAUGAAGAACGUAGCAAAAUGCGAUAAGUAAUGUGAAUUGCAGAAUUCAGUGAAUCAUCGAAUCUUUGAACGCACAUUGCGCCCACCAGUAUUCUGGCGGGCAUGCCUGUUCGAGCGUCAUUUCAACCCUCAAGCCCUCGGGUUUGGUGUUGGGGAUCGGCGAGCCUUUCUGGCAAGCCGGCCCCGAAAUCUAGUGGCGGUCUCGCUGCAGCCUCCAUUGCGUAGUAGUAAAACCCUCGCAACUGGAACGCGGCGCGGCCAAGCCGUUAAACCCCCAACUUCUGAAUGUUGACCUCGGAUCAGGUAGGAAUACCCGCUGAACUUAAGCAUAUCAAUAAGCGGAGGA